This 468-nucleotide ribosomal RNA is filed under the name uncultured bacterium. RNAcentral describes it as "partial 16S ribosomal RNA". It matches the Rfam family "Bacterial small subunit ribosomal RNA", at positions 28 to 507 of the family's 1533-position model. The record is from RNAcentral.
GACGAACGCUGGCGGCGUGCUUAACACAUGCAAGUCGAACGGAAAGGCCCUGCUUUUGUGGGGUGAUCGAGUGGCGAACGGGUGAGUAACACGUGAGUAACCUGACCUUGAUUUUGGGAUAACUUCAGGAAACUGGGGCUAAUACCGGAUAGGAGCUCCUGCAGCAUGGUGGGGGUUGGAAAGUUUCGGCGGUUGGGGAUGGACUCGCGGCUUAUCAGCUUGUUGGUGGGGUAGUGGCUUACCAAGGCUUUGACGGGUAGCCGGCCUGAGAGGGUGACCGGCCACAUUGGUACUGAGAGACGCCCCAGACUCCUACGGGGGGCAGCAGUGGGGAAUAUUGCACAAUGAUCGGAAGCCUGAUGCAGCAACGCCGCGUGCGGAAUGACGGCCUUCGGGUUGUAAACCGCUUUCGCCUGUGACGAAGCGUUAGUGACGGUAAUGGGUAAAGAAGCACCGGCUAACUACGUG